Molecule: ribosomal RNA, 475 nt
Filed under: Rana sakuraii (Japanese brown frog)
Lineage: Eukaryota; Metazoa; Chordata; Amphibia; Anura; Ranidae
Description: partial 12S ribosomal RNA
Rfam family: Bacterial small subunit ribosomal RNA
Source: RNAcentral
UUAAUUUACAUCUACACCGCCGGGGGAUUACGAGCAAUGCUUAAAACCCAAAGGAUUUGACGGUGUCCCACCCCACUAGAGGAGCCUGUUCUAUAAUCGAUGAUCCCCGCUUCACCUAACCAUUCCUCGCCUAUCAGUCUGUAUACCUCCGUCGAAAGCUUACCAUGUGAACGCCUGCCGUAAGCCUAAUGAUUCAUCAUCAACACGUCAGGUCAAGGUGCAGCUCAAGGAAUGGAAAGUAAUGGGCUACAAUUUCUAACUUAGAACAAACGAAAGACUGUGUGAAACCCUAGUCAUGAAGGUGGAUUUAGUAGUAAAAAGAAAAUAGAGUGUUCUUUUUAACCCGGCUCUGGGACGCGUACACACCGCCCGUCACCCUCUUCAAUAGUACUACAUCUGUUCCUAACCCAACACUACGUUUUAGAAGAGGCAAGUCGUAACAUGGUAAGUGUACUGGAAAGUGCACUUGGUAUAA